This 1118-nucleotide ribosomal RNA is filed under the name Chlamydomonas applanata. RNAcentral describes it as "rrnL". The stretch from base 1 to 339 matches the Rfam family "Group I catalytic intron". The record is from RNAcentral. Lineage: Eukaryota; Viridiplantae; Chlorophyta; Chlorophyceae; Chlamydomonadales; Chlamydomonadaceae.
CAAUCAGGGGUCGGUUCGUAGCAAUACGAACCUGGCAAUUUGGCUAUAUGCUGGAAUAUCCGUCCACUAUCUAAACGUUGAAAAGUGGUUAGUAUCCUUUGUCACUGUAAUUGUUAUACAGGGAAGCGCAAACGAUCGUGUUUUCACUUGUGAAAACAAGACGUUUCGUCGUGUUUUUAAAAAAUAAAAAACACAACGAAAGGUGCGGACAAUCAGCAGGGAAGUUCUCUACUUAUGUGGUAUAACUUGUUACACAUAAGCAUAACCCCUCAACGACUACACGCCGAACAUCCUAACUUUAGGAUGAUGAUAUAGUCUGAACUACUAGGCGACUAGUAGAUACUUUCGUUUGAAUUCAAACGACAGUAUAAGGAAUGAAUAUUAAAGGAAUAUUAAAUAAUUAAAUAUCACAAACACUAUGUCAUUAACACAACAACAAAAAGACUUAAUUUUCGGAUCUCUACUGGGUGAUGGAAAUUUACAAACUGGUUCAGUAGGUAGGACUUGGCGCUAUCGAGCGCUCCAUAAAAGUGAGCAUCAGACAUACUUAUUUCAUAAGUAUGAAAUCUUAAAGCCGCUUUGUGGCGAAAAUACUCUCCCAACAGAAAGUAUAGUGUUCGACGAAAGAACAAACAAGGAGGUUAAACGUUGGUUUUUCAACACAUUAACCAAUCCUUCCUUAAAAUUCUUCGCAGACAUGUUCUACACAUAUGACCAAAACACACAAAAAUGGGUUAAAGAUGUACCUGUAAAGGUUCAAACAUUCUUAACUCCUCAAGCUUUAGCAUACUUUUAUAUAGACGAUGGAGCGUUAAAAUGGCUUAAUAAGUCUAACGCUAUGCAAAUUUGUACUGAAAGUUUCAGUCAAGGGGGCACGAUUCGGAUCCAAAAAGCACUAAAAACGCUCUAUAAUAUUGAUACAACGUUGACAAAAAAAACUCUACAAGACGGCAGAAUUGGCUAUCGUAUAGCUAUUCCUGAAGCCAGUAGCGGUGCUUUUCGUGAAGUCAUUAAACCUUUUCUAGUUGAUUGUAUGAGAUACAAAGUUUCUGAUGGCAAUAAAGGCCACCUUUAGAAUUCCUUAUAACAUAUUUGCGAUGUCGGCUCAUCGCAUCCUG